RNAcentral lists this long non-coding RNA (8204 nucleotides) under Erythranthe guttata (spotted monkey flower). Its description in RNAcentral is "long non-coding RNA (EGUT_LNC003327)". Lineage: Eukaryota; Viridiplantae; Streptophyta; Magnoliopsida; Lamiales; Phrymaceae. The record is from RNAcentral.
AUGACUUUUACUUAACUAAGAAAGGCUUUGAAAAAAUGGCCUUUAUUAAAAUUUCGAUACAAUUUGAACCUUGAGAAAUCACUUUAAAAUUUGUGAAAGCAUUUUUUUUCGUUUACUUAAAUCAUAACCCGAGUUUAAAACAAACCAUUUUCAUAAAGAGUGCUACAUACAUGACUAUGAACGGGGUUUACAACAUACUUGUAAUACAGCGGAAGAAAAUAAACUUUAUUUAUAUACCCCGGUUUAAUAGACUAGAUUCCAAAAUCAGAGUACAAACUGAACUCGUAAAGAUCUCCAUUAUACAUUAGGCUUUUAAAAGGGAAAAGUGGAGAGAUAAUUUUGUAAGAAAUCCGGAGACGACAUAUAAGGCAUCAAGGCUUGUGAUUCCUCCAACUCCGCUUCGCUGCGCCACUCUGAUUACAUUGAAGACCUGAAAAGGGGAUUCACAUAAAGCGUGAGUCUAACCACUGGCUCAGUAUGAACAUUGGCCUGACGAUACUCACACCUCUCUCAACGUGUCACUCACGCCCUACGGGAGUCCUAAAGUCCUCGUCUAUGUUCUUUUCAUCUAUGUCUUUUAUGGCAUAACUAUAUUCAUUUUUUCAAUAUCAUGACAUUCAUUCAUAUCACAUAUAAUUGACCACAUAAGAAACUUAAUACAUAAAAUUAGGCAUAUAAUAAACUUGCAAUCAUUCAUUCAUACACUUAACAUGAAUGUCACAAUUACCUGUUACUUUAAACAUUCACGGAUACUUAACAUCCAACUUUCUUUUAUAAUCGGGUACUUAACACCCUUCUAUCAUUUAAGGGUACUUAACACCCUUUUAACUUUACUAUGCAAUAUGCAAUAUGCAACUUUUAGACUUCUAGACUUUUCAUGAAAUAAUGCAUGAGAAAACAUUGGGCCCGUUUGGAAAAACAAUCGUGAAGUUCGGCAAUAAGCCGUGUAUUUUGGAGCUUGUGAUCUAUAACAUUACUAUAGUCACGACUAUAACUUUACUAUAGCCAAGGUAGUGAUUUAUAAUGCCGAUUCCUAUGUGAAUCAGUCCCUAUGUGGACAGGUCCCUAUCUAGACCCCAACUAUCAACCACUAACCGGAAUAUAGUCACGGCUAUAACUUUACUAUAGCCGAGUUAGUGGUUUAUAAUCCCGAUUCCUAUGUGAAUCAGUCCCUAUGUGGACAGGUCCCUAUGUGGACCCCAACUAUCAACCACUAACGGAAUACCAGCCCCCCGUAUCCCAUACUUAUUCACCUAGAUCCACAACCAAUUUCCAAACAUUUUUAACUUUGAAAAAUCAUGAUUUAUGCAUCUUAGACUUACUAAUGAAUCAUAUGAUUUAUAAAUCUUUACUUUUAUAUAAACAACACCAAAGUAACAAGUACCAUACCAACUAUACUUCAAAUCUUUAAUCAAAUCAUUAAACACAUAAUCAUAUUGAACAUAACACUUUUACUUUCACAUUUCACUUCAUAAGUACACAUAAACAUUUCAUAACCCAAUGUAGCACACAGGAGGGCAUUCUUCAACUUUAACCAUAUCAUAGUCACAUAAUCACAUAAUCAUAUAAUCACACAUUCCUAUCAUUAAAAAUAUCACGUAUAUCACAUUUAAAUGCACCUUAGGCCAUAGCUAUCUAAUAUUUUACAUAAAGCAUCCAAUACUUUACCUUUAUCACAAGAUCACAUAACAACAUUUUAGACAUAUAAGUAUAAUUCAUAAGCCAUGGAUCGGAGUAUAAUCACGACCACGUAGGCAUAAAUAUAUAUAUAUAUAUAUAUAUAUAUAUAUAUAUAUAUAUAUAUAUAUAUAUAUAUAUAUAUUAGCAUACUUAUAAUAUUAUAAAACAUAAGCCAUGGGUUGGAGUAUAAUCACAACCACCCAGGCCUAAAUACAUAUAUAUAUAUUGAUGAUGCUAAUAUGUAGCUCACCUAGGGUAGUGUAGAAAAUGAGCUGGGAGAGCAAAGCAGAUCAGUAGCUUGACAACUUGAUGAUCCUGAGGUACUUGCAAUCAUAGAACACGUGAACUAGGCCGGGGGUUGAUCCGGCGGAAACCCCUCCGACGCUCAAGUCAGACGUGCGGAUAGUGGAAAUAGUCCAGAGAAUACGUAUUGUAGUAUUGCUCAGUUAAUAGGACGUACCUUAAUAAAAUGAGUAAAACCUCUAUUUAUAUGUCGUUUAUUGGGUUGGGUUUGCUUUGUUGGGCCCAAGCCUUACUUGAAGGUGUUUGGGCCUCGGUGAUAUUAGUCUUCGAUAUUGGGCUCGUAGCCCAGUAGGUACAGAAAUUGUAGGCCUAUUGGGUUGGCCCAAUUAGGCAUAUCAUUAAGCCCCCCACUUUCGAGUCGAUGUGGGGGCCAUGUUGUGAUGGGUCUCAGAUCGUGUCGAGAGUAAAAAUUGUAGAAGUCGAUCGUUGUCUUAUGGCCUAAUGGUAUGCGAAAACGCGUUGGAGCGUGUGUCGGAGGGGCGUGAAUGCGCGUUGGCGCAUAGCGCGACAAGGUUGUCGCGAUGUAAGUUAAUUGAGUCGUCGGUUUUGUCCUGCGACGAUGUAGUAGCGAAUUAUCUCCUCGUGAGAGUUGUCUUGUCGCGGGGUAAUAGUGUUGAUCGAGUUAUCUCCUCGUGGGAGUUGUCUCGCGAUAAUGUAGUAGCACGGAUCAAGUAAUCUCCUCGUGGGAGUUGUCUCUGGGGUAAUCGAGUUGAUCGAGUUACGUCCUCGUGGAAGUUGUCUCACGAUAAUGUAGUAGCACAGAGCUAGUACUCUCCUCGUGGGAGUUUUUAUUUUUCGACAUUGUCAAUGUUUUGACGCGUUGCUUAUAUGUGUUUACAUAUAGCCUUGUGCGUGAUGUACUUGAGGAGGGGAUCAGACUCUCAAGAUUUUUUUUGUUUUAUGGGGGUCGUGCCCCUUGUUAGACCUCGUGGGUCUUAAGUAUGUUUGGACCGUGGCCACGUUUUAAUGAAUGACCCAUUGAAAACAAGUAGAUAGAUUUGAGUAAUCAAGCUGGCCAGGCUAUAUAGAUUCUCAUAAUGUCAAGUGAUUCUAGGGUUGUAAUCGUGCUAACUUGAGCUUGUGAUUAUAUAGUGAUUUUCGGGCGAGUUGUCUCCUCAUGGGAGUUGUCUCGCGGUGAGUAAUAUUUAUCGAGUGAGGUGGUUGCACGUGGGAGUUGUCUUGCAACGAAUUUGUAGUGUCGAGCGAGUUGGCUCCUCGUGGGAGUUGUCUCGCUGCGGGUUGUAGUGUCAAGCGAGUGGUCUCCUCGUGGGAGUUAUCUCGUUGUGGUUUCGUACACCCGAGGGAGUUGGCUCCUCGUGGGAGUUGCCUCGCAACAGGUUAUAGGACAGAGCGAGUGGUCUCCUCGUGGGAGUUGUCUCGCUGUGGUGUUGAGAUCCGAGGGAGUUGGCUCCUCGUGGGAGUUGCCUCGCAACGGGUUGUAGGAUUGAGCGAGUGGACUCCUCGUGGGAGCUAUCUCGCUAUAGUUUAGAGACUAGAGGGGGUUAGCUCCUCGUGGGAGUUGUCCCGCAACGGGCUAUAGGAUGGAGCGAAUGGUCUCCUCGUGGGAGUUAUCUCGCUGUGGUUUUGAGAUCCGAGGGGGUUGACUCCUCGUGGGAGUUGCGUCGCAACGGGUUGUAGGAUUGAGCGAGUGGACUCCUCGUGGGAGUUAUCUCGCUAUAGUUUUGAGACUAGAGGGGGUUGUAUUAUUGCGCGAGUUGGCUCCUCGUGGGAGUUGUCUCGCAAGGGAGUUGUAGGAGCAUCGGAUGGCGCGCGACUGAGGAGCGCGCGGACUGAGGUCGCUCUGGGCGAAUUGUCUCCUCGUGGGAGUUAUCUUGAAACGGGUUGUAUGGCCGAGCGAGUUGUAUUACUGAGCGAGUUGGCUCCUCGUGGGAGUUGUCUCGCAAGCCCCCCACUCUCGAGAGGAUGUGGGAGCCACGUUGAAAAGGGUACCGGAUCGUGUCGAGAGUAGAUCGGUGCUGUAAUGUUUCGUUAGUCGUUGGCAAGGCGUGGAAAAAUAAUUUUUUUUAUUUAUCCGUUUGAUAGCGAGCGCGAUUUGGUAGGGGCGUUGAAGAGCUCGCGCUAUUUAAUUAAGCGAGGUGGAACUAUCAAGCGAUUUGGUGGAGUGCAAAGAAAUUCUCGCGCGAUUUAGUAAAGUGCGUCAAAAUCUUGACGUGAUUUGAGGUAAAGUUUCGAGAGCUGCGCGCGACCUCAGGUAUGCGAGCGCUAGGAGGUUGGAUGGGCGGCACGCAUUGGAGGACGCUGAUGUGCCUGAGUUCGCGCACACUUGGGGUCCGUGCGCGCAUUAGCCCACAAAGGGGAGGCACGCGCGCAUGUAUUAUACGGAGAGAGAGAGUGUGUAGCUGUUGAGAAUUUUAUGAGGAGUUGAUAGGGACUUCCUCGAGAAUGGCGCAACAUGUUGCUUUAUUCACUUUUUUUUUUCUUUUUUCUUUUUUUUUUCCCGGGAAGCGUGCCGAGCGCGCGCCUCGGGAAUCGUGCCCGCGCGCGCCUCGGUAACCGUGCCCAUUUUUUUUUUUUUUGCCUCGGGAAACGUGCCCGUUUUUUUUUUAAGGAAGCGUGUCAGAUGCGCGCCCUCGGGAAGCGUAGCGUGUGCGCCUCGAGAUUCGUGCCCGCGCGCACCUCGGGAAUCGUGCCCGAUUUUUUUUUUGCCUCGGGUAAAGUGCCCGUUUUUUUUUCGGGAAUCGUGCCCGUUUUUUUUCCAUGAAGCGUGUCGGAUGCCGCCUCGAGAAGCGUGUCGUGCGCGCCUCGGGAAUCGUGCACGAGUUUUUUUUUUUUUCGGGAAUCGUGCCCGUUUGUUUGUUUUUUUUUUUUUUUUUUUAAUGGAGCCGCGCGGUUUGGCUUGGGCGCGCGCCCGGCUCGGCUCUGGCGCGCUCGCGGCUCGGCUUGGCUGCACCUUCCUCUUCUUUUUUUUUUUUUUUUUUUUUUUUUUUUUGUAUGAGCCGCGCGGCUUGGCUCGGGCGCGCGCGCGGCUCGGCUCUGGCGCGCGCGCGCUCGGCUCGACUUGGCUGAUUUUCUUUUUUUUUUUUUUUUUACUCUCUUUUUUCUUCUUCUUGUUCUUGUAUUUUUUUUUAUCUUCUUUUUUCUUUUUCUUUUUUCUUCUUCUCUUUUUUCAUCUUCUUCUUUUUUCUUCAUCUUCUUCUUCUUUUUUCUUCAUCUUCUUCUAUUUUUUUUUUUUUUUUAUUUGGUUGAUAUUCACCCUCUUGGGGAUGUUCUAUUUUUUGAGUAGGAAGAUUAUCUUCGUCUCUUGCGAUGUGAUAUGAACCCACUUGGGGUUGAAAGGUAAGGGUGAUGUCCAACCUUAGGAUGGGGAUAACUGUCCACUGUAGGAUGAGGCGCUCGAGACCUAUGGUCUUAGGUGGAUGCGCACGGUUGUGCCAUUGGUUCGCGCGUGCGCGUCAGACCAUUUUUUCUGUUUUUUGAAGUAGGGACGUGAAACACUUGAUGGGAUGUGAAACCCCUUGGGGUUGAAAGGAAAGUGGAUGUACCACCCUUGAGAUGAGAUACCCAACUUUAGGAUGGGAUAGCCCCCAUUUAGGAUGAGGCGAUCACGAACCAUUGGGGUGAGAUGCCCAAUCUUGGCGAUAUAUGGUGCCACUGAUUCAGUGGCAUCACGAGUUGAAUCUUCCGUGAUCAUACGCUGAAGGUCUUCUUCGGUUAUCUGAACCGUUCGAGAAGUAAGUAGAAAUUGAUCAUGUUGAGGACCCAGUGGGGCCUCACGACGAGGAGCGUUGGCUCCUGCUAUGACGAUGUAUGAUGCCACUGCUUCAGUGGUAGCACAAGUUGAAGCUUCCGCAAUUAUACGCUGAAGGUCCUUAUCGGUUAUCUGAACCGUUAGAGGAGCCAGUAGAAGUUGAUCUUGUUGAAGGUUCGGCGAUCAUAUGCUGAAGGUCCUCUUCGGUUAUCUGAACCGUUAGAGGGGGGGCGGAAGUAGACCCCCAGAGAGUCGAUGACCCAUGGCGAAUGAAAUGUUUUGGAGGCACGGUGAACCCCCAGGGAGUUGAUAACCCUUGGCGAACGAAAUAUUUUGGGGGCAGAUGUAAGCCCCCAGGGAGUCGAUAACCCUUUGCGAACGAAAUAUUUUGGGGGCGAUGUAAGCCCCCAGGAAGUCGAUAACCCUUGGCGAACGAAAUAUUUUGGGGGCGAUGUAAGCCCCCAGGGAGUCGAUAACCCUUGGCGAGCGAAAUGUUUUGGGGGCGAUGUAAGCCCCCAGGGAGUCGAUAACCCUUGGCGAGCGAAAUGUUUUGGGGGCACUGUAUACCUCCAGGGAGUCGAUGGCGGUGGUUAGACCUGACCACGGUUCGGUUCCGGUUCCGGUUCCGAACCGCCGGUUCCGGUUCCAAUUUUGGAGGAACCCGGAACCGAAACCGAAAAAAUCCGGUUCCUUGCGGUUCGGUUCCUAACCGGGUUCCGGGUUCGGUUCCGGGUUCGGUUUUCCGGUUAGAAACCGGGUAGAACCGCCCGGGUCCUUUAAUACUAAUUUUUUAUUUUUAUUAUAUAUACAUAUACAUAUACAUAUAUAGAUAAUAUAUAAAAAAAAAACCUGAAAUAAACUCUUUUAAAAAGUUUUUUUUAAGGGGGAAAGUAAUUUAAAAAACCUAAUUUUUUUCUUAAACUGAAAUUUGUGUUUCUGAAANNNNNNNNNNNNNNNNNNNNNNNNNNNNNNNNNNNNNNNNNNNNNNNNNNNNNNNNNNNNNNNNNNNNNNNNNNNNNNNNNNNNNNNNNNNNNNNNNNNNNNNNNNNNNNNNNNNNNNNNNNNNNNNNNNNNNNNNNNNNNNNNNNNNNNNNNNNNNNNNNNNNNNNNNNNNNNNNNNNNNGUAAGCGCUUGAUUACACAGUAGUCUUUGUUGUCUUCACCACUUUCUGAAACCAAUAGUCCGUCAGAACCCUAUCGGAAUAACGUAUCCAAUUCAUUAUCCCAUUAGAGUUUCUGACUACGUUUCAGGGGGCUAAGUGUAAUUAUCGAUACCAUAGGGACCUUACAGUUAUUUAAGCAUACCUCAGGGGGGUGUGUGUAAUUUACCCUUUAAUUUAUCACACAUGAAGUUCUAAUCCACAUAAUUUCAGUCACAUAGAUAAUCGAUAACACAUAACAAUAAUCAGGAACUUUUAGAUCAUCUAAAUAGCACAUAAGUUCUAUAAACAAUUUAAUUAUCAUCAUUCCUCACAUUAUAAUCAUACACUGACUUAUCCCCGGUCUCUAAUUUCUUCAAGUGUUAUUCUAUCAGCUAAAUACUCUAAAUCAUUUGUUCUAAGUUCAGUCAUGCUAUUAAGGUUAUGCAUUAAGAGUUUAAAACAUGCUCACAAUUAAUUCCAUCAAUUCAAAGAAAUUUAUUUUAGCAAAUAGGGCUGUUUUAGUACUUUAAUUUUGAAAAUUCAUUUCUCUUUAAUCAUGCAUCCCAAAAUUCUGAAACUUUAACAUCAUACUCUUUCCAGCGUUAAAAGUACCCAUUUAAAACAGUUUUCUAAAAUACCUAUCCAAGUAAGAGAAAUACUUAAAACCGUGCAGUUUUGUAGUCGAAAUUCCAGAAACAGAGCAAUGACUUCAAAAAUACCAAAUACAUUAUUUUAUUUUCCAAACACCGUAAAAUUUUGACUGAGAUUACAUUUAUAUGUCUAAUAUCUAAUCCAAGUGGAAUCAGGAUGAUCGGAGUAGCAGAAGAUCAGAUUUAACAUGCAUUUCUCUCAUGACUCACAAUCUGUGCAGUUCCGAAAAAUAAAUCACAACUUAAUCAUUUUAAAUCCAAAUAAUACAAACUGUAUAUCAAAUUCAAGAUAACAGAGAGAUCUAUAUUCUCUAGAAAUUUUACAUUUUUAUAAAAAUACAUCGUCUAUGAAACGAGGCUUAAACUCCGUGACUAUGAAUCUGUAAAUUUCAAUCUAAGCAUCUAGUUCAAGAUUCUAAACUCAAUCAUCCUAUAAUCAUAGAAUUCAAUCUUAAACACAUAAUAUUAACAUAAAGACAUCAGUAAACUUAACAUGCAAUUCAAUUUCAGUAAAGACCAAGGGGUCCUUACCCAUUUGAAGAAAAUCAAAGAUAAGAGAAGGAGAAAUCGAAGGAUUCAUGGAGGUCUUCGAGUUUUGGCCAUGGAUGAUCUUGGGAUGCUUUGGGCUGAGUUUGAAGGCUGUAGGAGGGUUGUUUUCUUGGAGUUUAUUGAUGAGAGAAACCUUUUAUGAGUAUAUGCUGAAUUAUUGAGAAGAAAGAAG